GUUUACGUCCAUACCACCCUGAAUGCGCCCGAUCUCAUCUGAUCUCGGAAGCUAAGCAGGGUCGGGCCUGGUUAGUACUUGGAUUGGAGGAAUUAAGCAUACACUAACU
Molecule: ribosomal RNA, 109 nt
Filed under: Myotis lucifugus (little brown bat)
Lineage: Eukaryota; Metazoa; Chordata; Mammalia; Chiroptera; Vespertilionidae
Source: RNAcentral